GGGCAUUUGGUUUAGUGGUAUGAUUCUUAUUUUGGGUGCGAGAGGUCGUGAGUUCAAUUCUUGAAAUGCCCC
RNAcentral lists this transfer RNA (72 nucleotides) under Ipomoea nil (Japanese morning glory). It matches the Rfam family "tRNA". Rfam says of the family: Transfer RNA (tRNA) molecules are approximately 80 nucleotides in length. Their secondary structure includes four short double-helical elements and three loops (D, anti-codon, and T loops). Lineage: Eukaryota; Viridiplantae; Streptophyta; Magnoliopsida; Solanales; Convolvulaceae. The record is from Rfam by way of RNAcentral.